Mus musculus (house mouse) is the source of this 586-nucleotide long non-coding RNA. RefSeq annotates it as predicted gene, 35424. The transcript is spliced from 4 exons. Lineage: Eukaryota; Metazoa; Chordata; Mammalia; Rodentia; Muridae. The record is from RefSeq and is a predicted model, not a curated record.
GGAUCAUCAUACCCAAGGAAUACUCCCUAUAAUGUGCUUGCUGCAUGUACAUAAUUACUAAGGACCUCAGAGUCAAGAGUAUUCUGCUAUCUGGGUCAAAUGGUGAUAAAGCCCAACUGCCACAACUGGCCAUAGGGCAGUCAGCUGUGGACAUUAGACUCGUGGUGAUUCAAAGUUUUCCAGAAGUGGAUGGAACUUUGUCUUUACCACAAUGAAUGAAAGAAUUACCAGCUGCAUGGGGUGGAAGGAGAUCUGCAAUGAAGCAAGGUUUUCUCACUGAACCUGGAGCUCAUCAGCUGGCUACGCUGACUAGAUAAUAAGAUUCUUCAGACCUGUCCAGCCCUGAAGUUUCAGAGUCACGGCUGUGCCUUACAUUUUAUCAGCGUUCUAUGGGCAACCAAAUCAGGUCCUCAUGUUUAUGUGAAUUACAUGUUGGAGCUGGGGAGAUGACUCAUGGCCAGAGAAUUUGCAUUCCGAUCCCCAAAACUUAGGGAAAGCAAGACUGAAGCUCCUGAGCCAAUUGGUUUGGAACCUUAAGACCAGCAUGAGGUCCUAUAUUGGCAGUGCAUGUACAUGUAUCUGCACU